UUAUUAUACCUCCCAAUAUAUACCCUGAUCUGAUCUGGUGAGCAUAUUAUACGCCUUAAUGUUGUCAGCACACUUACUAUUUCUUCCUUUAUUUGUUGUAUUGGAAGUAAAAUUCAGCAUAACUUGAGGAGAAUGAUGGUUUGGACUUGUUUUAACAAGUUAUAGGUAGGAAGAAGUAUGGUACAACCAAGCUUCCCAAACUAAUGACCAGGGCUUUAAAAUAGUGCUUACGAAAUGAUAAAAGGAAUUUAUUAACACUAAUUAUGUCGGUCUUUCAACAAACGGAGCUCAGGCAAUAACAAAAUUAUGGAGAUAUUUAGAACAUGAUAUGUGGUUCUUUUCAGUAAAAGUUGCAGUAAUAUUGGUUUACCUUUACUGGAGUUGUUUCACAACAAUUCAGGCCAUUUUGUCUUUGAAUUUCAGGUUCACAAAAUUGUUGACCUUUCCCCAUAUCCCGAUCGAGAGGCAAUGUGGUAUCUAGAAGUCCUGGAGGCUUACAAACUUUUCUACGGGCCCCUACUUGAAGAAUGAUAGAAGGGAGCAAGGUUGGGAGAGAGAGAGUCACUUCUAGUGUACAUGAUAGAAGGAAUGUAAACCUUAAUCUUUUUGUUUCAUAUGUAGCAUCAAUAGAAACUUAAUGCAUCAGCCAGUCUUGUUACUACUUACUCCAUUUCCAUUACGGUUCUAAUUGCACAGUUCAAUUCAACCGGUAUGAGCUCAUACAUAGAAUUAUACCAUCUUUUAAUAUGGCAAAACCCAAGUUUCAUUACAGUCGAGUUGAGAGCCCAACAAAAAGAGUUCACAUGCUCAUCCGCUUCAUUGGAAUGUCGUACUAUAAAG
RNAcentral lists this long non-coding RNA (840 nucleotides) under Panax ginseng (ginseng). Its description in RNAcentral is "long non-coding RNA (PGIN_LNC007142)". Lineage: Eukaryota; Viridiplantae; Streptophyta; Magnoliopsida; Apiales; Araliaceae. The record is from RNAcentral.